This 83-nucleotide transfer RNA is filed under the name Echinococcus granulosus. The record is from RNAcentral. Lineage: Eukaryota; Metazoa; Platyhelminthes; Cestoda; Cyclophyllidea; Taeniidae.
GGAGGCAGAAAUGGUUUGUCCCGGCUUCAAAUCCGUGAAGGUGUAGGAAUGGCCUGAGGGGAGGUGGAUACUCCUCUGCUUCC